CCUACGGGAGGCAGCAGUGAGGAAUAUUGGUCAAUGGCCGAGAGGCUGAACCAGCCAAGUCGCGUGAGGGAAGAAUGUCCUAUGGAUUGUAAACCUCUUUUGUCAGGGAGCAAAGUCACCCACGUGUGGGUGUUGGAGAGUACCUGAAGAAAAAGCAUCGGCUAACUCCGUGCCAGCAGCCGCGGUAAUACGGAGGAUGCGAGCGUUAUCCGGAUUUAUUGGGGUAAAAGGGUGCGUAGGCGGGUUAUCAAGUCAGCGGUAAAAUCGUGGAGCUCAACUCCAUCCAGCCGUUGAUACUGAUGAUCUAGAGUGAGCGAGAAGUAUGCGGAAUGCGUGGUGUAGCGGUGAAAUGCGUAGAUAUCACGAAGAACACCGGUGGCGAAGGCAGCAUACCGGCGCCCGACUGACGCUGAAGCACGAAAGCGUGGGUAGCGAACAGGAUUAGAUACCCCUGUAGUC
This 459-nucleotide ribosomal RNA is filed under the name uncultured bacterium. RNAcentral's name for it is "partial 16S ribosomal RNA". It matches the Rfam family "Bacterial small subunit ribosomal RNA", at positions 338 to 795 of the family's 1533-position model. The record is from RNAcentral.